UUGAAGACCUUUGUUUUACUUUCAGAUAUAUUUUUCUGCUAUCAAAUAUUUUCAAUGCUUUCUUUGCAGUCCAAAAGCCAGUUGUGUUCCUACACCGUGGCGUGCUUGUGACUGCCAAUCUUCCAAGCAAUAGCCUAGGCUUCCCUGGCAGAUGCUGGUUAUGAUGUGUGGAUGGGGAACGACAGAGGACUACCUGGUCCAGGAAACACUUAUACCUAGAUCCAGAUUCUAAAGAAUUCUGGGCUUGCAGCUUUUGGAGCAUUUUCAAUAAAUCCACAACUGGCUGAAAAGAUUAAAAUUUAUUUUGCACUGGCUCCAGCUACUUCUAUUAAAAACACAAUUUUAAAGCAUCCUCUUACUUUCACCAAACCAACACACAAUUAAGGUUUGUGAUUCAUUAUAGUAUAUGCUUAUAGUUUUCAAAAUCAGGAAAUGUGAAUAAUACUGAAGAAGAGAGAUGCUUACAUAGGCUCCUGCUGGAUUAAAAAGUUCCAUUUUCCUCACUGACUUGGAUAUGUAAU
RNAcentral lists this long non-coding RNA (521 nucleotides) under Bos indicus x Bos taurus (hybrid cattle). Its description in RNAcentral is "lncRNA (ENSBIXG00000013568.1)". Lineage: Eukaryota; Metazoa; Chordata; Mammalia; Artiodactyla; Bovidae. The record is from RNAcentral.